Molecule: long non-coding RNA, 1674 nt
Organism: Rana temporaria (common frog)
Lineage: Eukaryota; Metazoa; Chordata; Amphibia; Anura; Ranidae
Exons: 14
Source: RefSeq, a predicted model, not a curated record
GUGCCUUGCGUAGAGAACUACUCUGCUGUGAGCUUCUGUUUGCCCAAAUUAAGGUUCCAAGGCUCAUACGAAGAAAGAUUUUAUGGUGCCCUGCGUAGAGAACUACUCUGCUAUGAGCUUCCGUUUGCCCAAAUUAAGGUUCCAAGGCUCAUACGAAGAAAGAUUUUAUGGUGCCCUGCGUAGAGAACUACUCUGCUAUGAGCUUCUAUUUGCCCAAGUUAAGGUUCCAAGGCUCAUACAAAGAAAGAUUUUACGGUGCCCUGCGUAGAGAACUCUGCUGUGAGCUUCGGUUUGCCCAAAUUAAGGUUCCAAGGCUUAUACAAAAUUAGAUUUUACAGUUUGCCCUGCGUAGAGAACUACUCUGCUGUGAGCUCCUUUUUGCCUAAAUUAAGGUUCCAAGGCUCAUACAAAGAAAGAUUUUACAGUGUCCUGCGUAGAGAGCUCUGCUAUGAGCGUCUUUUGCCCAAAUUAAGGUAUGUGGUUCUAGAUCCCCCCCAUGUUUAAUGCUAGCAGUCUCUUCCUCUCACAUUGGUGUACAUAUCAUGUGGAUGUGUAAUGUCUUGUUUUAUGCUUUCUUUACCCUCAGGUUCCAAGGCUUACACAAAUAAAGAUUUUACGGUGCCCUGCGUAGAGAACUACUCUAUGAGCUACUAUUUGCCCAAGUUAAGAUUCCAAGGCUCAUACGAAUAAAGAUUUUAUGGUGCCCUGCAUAGAGAACUACUCAGCUGUGAGCUUCUGUUUUCCCAAAUUAAGAUUCCAAGGCUCAUAUGAAGAAAGAUUUUACGGUGCACUGCGAAGAGAAUUCUGCUAUGAGCUUCUGUUUGCUCAAGUUAAGGUAUGUGGUUCUAGAUCCCCCCAUGUGCAAUGCUAGCAGACCCUUCCUCUCUCAUAUUCGUGUAUCUUGUGGAUGUGUAAUGUCUUGUUUUAUCCUUUACCCUCAGGUUCCAAGGCUUAUACGAAGAAAGAUUUAACGGUGCCAUGCGUAGUGAACUCUGCUAUGAGCUUCUGUUUUCCCAAAUUAAGGUUCCAAGGCUUAUACGAAGAAAGAUUUAACUGUGCCCUGCAUAGAGAACUACUCUGCUGUCAGCUUCUGUUUGCCCAAAUUAAGGUUCCAAGGCUUAUACAAAAAAGAUUUUACGGUGCCCUGCGUAGAGAACUCGGCUAUGAGCUUCUAUUUGCCCAAAUUAAGGUUCCAAGGCUUAUACGAAAUUAGAUAUUGUGCCCUGCAUAGAGAACUACUCUGCUAUGAGCUUCUAUUUGCCCAAGUUAAGGUUUCAAGCCUCAUACGAAGAAAGAUUUUACGGUGCCCUGCAUAGAGAACUACUCUGCUGUGAGCUUCUAUUUGCCCAAAUUAAGGUUUCAAGGCUUAUACGAAAUUAGAUUUUACGGUGCCCUGCAUAGAGAACUACUCUGCUAUGAGCUUCUGUUUGCCCAAAUUAAGCCAUUGACAUGUCACCGAGGUAAACACGUGCGGAGAGGAUAAAAAUUGUUGAUGUCUGGUGAACGCAGUAACCGGGUCAUUGCAGCAGAUUUCAAUGCAAGACAGCCUUCAAGACCACCCAUAUCCCAUGCUACAGUUGGCAAACUGCUUGCCAAGUUUCGUGAAACUGGUUCAGUGUUGGAUUUGCCAAAAUGUGGACAAAUGAAAUCUGUCACUAAUGAAGAAACAUCAGU